Molecule: ribosomal RNA, 1477 nt
Filed under: uncultured bacterium
Lineage: Bacteria
Description: partial 16S ribosomal RNA
Rfam family: Bacterial small subunit ribosomal RNA
Source: RNAcentral
AGAGUUUGAUCCUGGCUCAGGAUGAACGCUGGCGGCGUGCUUAACACAUGCAAGUCGAACGAACCUUCGGGUUAGUGGCGGACGGGUGAGUAACGCGUGAGAAUCUGCCCUCAGGAGGGGGAUAACGGCUGGAAACGGCCGCUAAUACCCCAUAUGCCGAGAGGUGAAAUGAAUUUCGCCUGAGGAUGAGCUCGCGUCUGAUUAGCUAGUUGGUAGGGUAAAGGCCUACCAAGGCUUCGAUCAGUAGCUGGUCUGAGAGGAUGAUCAGCCACACUGGGACUGAGACACGGCCCAGACUCCUACGGGAGGCAGCAGUGGGGAAUUUUCCGCAAUGGGCGAAAGCCUGACGGAGCAACGCCGCGUGAGGGAUGAAGGCCUCUGGGCUGUAAACCUCUUUUAUCAAGGAAGAAGAUCUGACGGUACUUGAUGAAUAAGCCACGGCUAAUUCCGUGCCAGCAGCCGCGGUAAUACGGGAGUGGCAAGCGUUAUCCGGAAUUAUUGGGCGUAAAGCGUCCGCAGGCGGUCUUACAAGUCUGUCGUUAAAGCGUGGAGCUUAACUCCAUUUCAGCGAUGGAAACUGUAAGACUAGAGUGUGGUAGGGGCAGAGGGAAUUCCCGGUGUAGCGGUGAAAUGCGUAGAUAUCGGGAAGAACACCAGUGGCGAAGGCGCUCUGCUGGGCCAUAACUGACGCUCAUGGACGAAAGCCAGGGGAGCGAAAGGGAUUAGAUACCCCUGUAGUCCUGGCCGUAAACGAUGAACACUAGGUGUCGGGGGAAUCGACCCCCUCGGUGUCGUAGCCAACGCGUUAAGUGUUCCGCCUGGGGAGUACGCACGCAAGUGUGAAACUCAAAGGAAUUGACGGGGGCCCGCACAAGCGGUGGAGUAUGUGGUUUAAUUCGAUGCAACGCGAAGAACCUUACCAGGGUUUGACAUCCUGCGAAUCCCUUGGAAACGAGGGAGUGCCUUCGGGAACGCAGUGACAGGUGGUGCAUGGCUGUCGUCAGCUCGUGUCGUGAGAUGUUGGGUUAAGUCCCGCAACGAGCGCAACCCACGUCUUUAGUUGCCAGCAUUUAGUUGGGCACUUUAAAGAGACUGCCGGUGAUAAACCGGAGGAAGGUGAGGACGACGUCAAGUCAGCAUGCCCCUUACGCCCUGGGCUACACACGUACUACAAUGGCCGAGACAAAGAGUCGCAAGUUUGCAAAGACAAGCUAAUCUCAUAAACUCGGUCUCAGUUCGGAUUGUAGGCUGCAACUCGCCUACAUGAAGUUGGAAUCGCUAGUAAUCGCCGGUCAGCUAUACGGCGGUGAAUCCGUUCCCGGGCCUUGUACACACCGCCCGUCACACCAUGGAAGCUAUUCACACCCAAAGUCGUUACCUUAACCGCGAGGAGGGGGGCGCCUAAGGUGGGGGUAGUGACUGGGGUGAAGUCGUAACAAGGUAGCCCUACUGGAAGGUGCGGAUGGAUCACCUCCUU